CAGCCGCCGCGGGAAUACGGAGGGGGCUAGCGUUGUUCGGAAUUACUGGGCGUAAAGCGCGCGUAGGCGGCUUGGUAAGUUAGAGGUGAAAGCCUGGAGCUCAACUCCAGAAUUGCCUUUAAGACUGCCGAGCUAGCAGGUGAGAGAGGUAAGUGGAAUUCCGAGUGUAGAGGUGAAAUUCGUAGACAUUCGGAAGAACACCAGUGGCGAAGGCGGCCAUCUGGGACAACACUGACGCUGAGGCACGAAAGCGUGGGGAGCAAACAGGAUUAGAUACCCCGGUAGUCCCUGUCUCUUAUAU
RNAcentral lists this ribosomal RNA (301 nucleotides) under uncultured bacterium. RNAcentral describes it as "partial 16S ribosomal RNA". It matches the Rfam family "Bacterial small subunit ribosomal RNA", at positions 509 to 809 of the family's 1533-position model. The record is from RNAcentral.